This 207-nucleotide non-coding RNA is filed under the name Tannerella sp. The record is from RNAcentral. Lineage: Bacteria; Pseudomonadati; Bacteroidota; Bacteroidia; Bacteroidales; Tannerellaceae. RNAcentral also lists the same sequence under 1 other name.
UCAUACCUUUGUACCCACGGUUCAUAAAUCCUUCUUCAGGAAAUAUGAUGAAAAGGGAAUCAGGUGAAAAUCCUGAACAGUCCCGCUGCUGUAAUUCUCAUAAAAAAUGGAGAUUAACAAAUACCCUCCGCCACUGAACCUGACGUUCGGGAAGGCGUUUUUUCUCCAGAGAUAAGUCAGAAGACCUGCCGUAUAAAAUCUAAAAGU